AAACUGCAUUCGAUACUGCCGUGCUAGAGUAAUGGAGAGGUAACUGGAAUUCUCGGUGUAGCAGUGAAAUGCGUAGAUAUCGAGAGGAAGACCAAUGGCGAAAGCAGGUUACUGGACAUUUACUGACGCUGAGGCUCGAAGGCUAGGGUAGCGAAAGGGAUUAGAUACCCCUGUAGUCCUAGCAGUAAACGAUGUGCGCUUGGUGUGGGAGGGUUCGACCCCUUCUGUGCCGGAGCUAACGCGUUAAGCGCACCGCCUGGGGAGUACGGUCGCAAGACUAAAACUCAAAGAAAUUGACGGGGACCCGCACAAGCGGUGGAGUAUGUGGCUUAAUUCGAUGCAACGCGAAGAACCUUACCUAGGCUUGACAUGUAUCGCUAAGCUCCCGAAAAGGAGUGAGCCUUCGGGCACUUUACACAGGUGCUGCAUGGCCGUCGUCAGCUCGUGUCGUGAGAUGUUCGGUUAAGUCCGGCAACGAGCGCAACCCCUGUGGCUAGUUACUAACAUUAAGUUGAGGACUCUAGUCAGACUGCCCAGAUUAACUGGGAGGAAGGUGGGGAUGACGUCAGGUCAGUAUGGCCCUUACGCCUAGGGCUGCACACGUACUACAAUGCUCAGUACAAUGAGAACCGAUACCGCGAGGUGGAGGAAAUCUACAAAACUGGGCUCAGUUCGGAUUGGAGGCUGCAACUCGCCUCCAUGAAGUUGGAAUCGCUAGUAAUGGCACAUCAGCUACGGUGCCGUGAAUACGUUCCCGGGUCUUGUACACACCGCCCGUCACAUCAUGGAAGCCGAUCGCACCCGAAGUACCUGCGUCAACAAUGGCAGGGUCCUAAGGUGUAGUUGGUAACUGGGAUGAAGUCGUAACAAGGUAGCC
Molecule: ribosomal RNA, 877 nt
Filed under: uncultured bacterium
Lineage: Bacteria
Description: bacterial SSU rRNA
Rfam family: Bacterial small subunit ribosomal RNA
Source: RNAcentral